CCUACGGGAGGCAGCAGUGGGGAAUUUUCCGCAAUGGGCGAAAGCCUGACGGAGCAACGCCGCGUGAGGGAUGAAGGCCUCUGGGCUGUAAACCUCUUUUAUCAAGGAAGAAGAUCUGACGGUACUUGAUGAAUAAGCCACGGCUAAUUCCGUGCCAGCAGCCGCGGUAAUACGGGAGUGGCAAGCGUUAUCCGGAAUUAUUGGGCGUAAAGCGUCCGCAGGCGGUCUUGUAAGUCUGUCGUUAAAGCGUGGAGCUUAACUCCAUUUCGGCGGUGGAAACUACAAGACUAGAGUGUGGUAGGGGCAGAGGGAAUUCCCGGUGUAGCGGUGAAAUGCGUAGAUAUCGGGAAGAACACCAGUGGCGAAGGCGCUCUGCUGGGCCAUAACUGACGCUCAUGGACGAAAGCUAGGGGAGCGAAAGGGAUUAGAUACCCCUGUAGUCCUAGCCGUAAACGAUGAACACUAGGUGUCGGGGGAAUCGACCCCCUCGGUGUCGUAGCUAACGCGUUAAGUGUUCCGCCUGGGGAGUACGCACGCAAGUGUGAAACUCAAAGGAAAUUGACGG
RNAcentral lists this ribosomal RNA (565 nucleotides) under uncultured bacterium. RNAcentral's name for it is "bacterial SSU rRNA". It matches the Rfam family "Bacterial small subunit ribosomal RNA", at positions 338 to 916 of the family's 1533-position model. The record is from RNAcentral.